RNAcentral lists this ribosomal RNA (1343 nucleotides) under uncultured bacterium. RNAcentral describes it as "16S ribosomal RNA". It matches the Rfam family "Bacterial small subunit ribosomal RNA", at positions 28 to 1378 of the family's 1533-position model. The record is from RNAcentral.
GACGAACGCUGGCGGCGUGCUUAACACAUGCAAGUCGAACGGAAAGGCCCUGCUUUUGUGGGGUGCUCGAGUGGCGAACGGGUGAGUAACACGUGAGUAACCUGCCCUUGACUUUGGGAUAACUUCAGGAAACUGGGGCUAAUACCGGAUAGGAGCUCCUGCUGCAUGGUGGGGGUUGGAAAGUUUCGGCGGUUGGGGAUGGACUCGCGGCUUAUCAGCUUGUUGGUGGGGUAGUGGCUUACCAAGGCUUUGACGGGUAGCCGGCCUGAGAGGGUGACCGGCCACAUUGGGACUGAGAUACGGCCCAGACUCCUACGGGAGGCAGCAGUGGGGAAUAUUGCACAAUGGGCGGAAGCCUGAUGCAGCAACGCCGCGUGCGGGAUGACGGCCUUCGGGUUGUAAACCGCUUUCGCCUGUGACGAAGCGUGAGUGACGGUAAUGGGUAAAGAAGCACCGGCUAACUACGUGCCAGCAGCCGCGGUGAUACGUAGGGUGCGAGCGUUGUCCGGAUUUAUUGGGCGUAAAGGGCUCGUAGGUGGUUGAUCGCGUCGGAAGUGUAAUCUUGGGGCUUAACCCUGAGCGUGCUUUCGAUACGGGUUGACUUGAGGAAGGUAGGGGAGAAUGGAAUUCCUGGUGGAGCGGUGGAAUGCGCAGAUAUCAGGAGGAACACCAGUGGCGAAGGCGGUUCUCUGGGCCUUUCCUGACGCUGAGGAGCGAAAGCGUGGGGAGCGAACAGGCUUAGAUACCCUGGUAGUCCACGCUGUAAACGGUGGGUACUAGGUGUGGGGUCCAUUCCACGGGUUCCGUGCCGUAGCUAACGCUUUAAGUACCCCGCCUGGGGAGUACGGCCGCAAGGCUAAAACUCAAAGGAAUUGACAGGGCCCCGCACAAGCGGCGGAGCAUGCGGAUUAAUUCGAUGCAACGCGUAGAACCUUACCUGGGUUUGACAUGGAUCGGGAGUGCUCAGAGAUGGGUGUGCCUCUUUUGGGGUCGGUUCACAGGUGGUGCAUGGCUGUCGUCAGCUCGUGUCGUGAGAUGUUGGGUUAAGUCCCGCAACGAGCGCAACCCUUGUUCACUGUUGCCAGCACGUUAUGGUGGGGACUCAGUGGAGACCGCCGGGGUCAACUCGGAGGAAGGUGGGGAUGACGUCAAGUCAUCAUGCCCCUUAUGUCCAGGGCUUCACGCAUGCUACAAUGGCUGGUACAGAGAGUGGCGAGCCUGUGAGGGUGAGCGAAUCUCGGAAAGCCGGUCUCAGUUCGGAUUGGGGUCUGCAACUCGACCUCAUGAAGUCGGAGUCGCUAGUAAUCGCAGAUCAGCAACGCUGCGGUGAAUACGUUCCCGGG